RNAcentral lists this ribosomal RNA (440 nucleotides) under uncultured bacterium. Its description in RNAcentral is "partial 16S ribosomal RNA". It matches the Rfam family "Bacterial small subunit ribosomal RNA", at positions 338 to 795 of the family's 1533-position model. The record is from RNAcentral.
CCUAUGGGUGGCUGCAGUGGGGGAUAUUGCACAAUGGGGGAAACCCUGAAGCAGCGACGCCGCGUGGAGGAUGAAGGAUUUCGGUAUGUAAAGCUCUAUUAGUAGAGAAGAAAAUGACGGUACCUGACCAAUAAGCACCGGCUAACUACGUGCCAGCAGCCGCGGUAAUACGGAGGGGGCAAGCGUUACUCGGAAUUACUGGGCGUAAAGGGAGCGUAGGCGGGAUAGUAAGUCAGAUGUGAAAUCCUAUGGCUUAACCAUAGAACUGCAUUUGAAACUGUUUAUCUAGAGUAUGGGAGAGGUAGGUGGAAUUCUUGGUGUAGGGGUAAAAUCCGUAGAGAUCAAGAGGAAUACUCAUUGCGAAGGCGACCUGCUAGAACAUAACUGACGCUGAUGCGCGAAAGCGUGGGGAGCAAACAGGAUUAGAUACCCUUGUAGUC